This 71-nucleotide transfer RNA is filed under the name Amphiuma means (two-toed amphiuma). RNAcentral's name for it is "tRNA-Ile". It matches the Rfam family "tRNA". Rfam says of the family: Transfer RNA (tRNA) molecules are approximately 80 nucleotides in length. Their secondary structure includes four short double-helical elements and three loops (D, anti-codon, and T loops). Lineage: Eukaryota; Metazoa; Chordata; Amphibia; Caudata; Amphiumidae. The record is from RNAcentral.
GGACAUGUGCCCGAAAGACAAGGACUACUUUGAUAGAGUAGAACAUAGGAGUUCAAACCCCCUCAUUUCCU